CCUACGGGGGGCUGCAGUCGAGAAUCUUCCGCAAUGGGCGAAAGCCUGACGGAGCGACGCCGCGUGCGGGAUGAAGGCCUUCGGGUUGUAAACCGCUGUCAGUGGGGAGCAAAUGUACGGGGGUUCUCCCCUGUGCUUGAGCGAUCCGCAGAGGAAGCGCAGGCUAAGUUCGUGCCAGCAGCCGCGGUAACACGAACUGCGCAAACGUUAUUCGGAAUCACUGGGCUUAAAGAGUUCGUAGGCGGCGCGUUAAGUCGGGUGUGAAAUCCCUCGGCUCAACCGAGGAAUUGCGCCCGAAACUGGCGUGCUUGAGUAAGAUAGAGGUGAGCGGAACUGAUGGUGGAGCGGUGAAAUGCGUUGAUAUCAUCAGGAACACCGGUGGCGAAAGCGGCUCACUGGGUCUUAACUGACGCUGAGGAACGAAAGCUAGGGUAGCGAACGGGCUUAGAUACCCGUGUAGUC
This 462-nucleotide ribosomal RNA is filed under the name uncultured Pasteuria sp. RNAcentral's name for it is "bacterial SSU rRNA". It matches the Rfam family "Bacterial small subunit ribosomal RNA", at positions 338 to 795 of the family's 1533-position model. The record is from RNAcentral. Lineage: Bacteria; Bacillati; Bacillota; Bacilli; Caryophanales; Pasteuriaceae.